UGUCAAGUCGACUUCCUCGGUAGU
This 24-nucleotide non-coding RNA is filed under the name Arabidopsis thaliana (thale cress). The record is from RNAcentral. Lineage: Eukaryota; Viridiplantae; Streptophyta; Magnoliopsida; Brassicales; Brassicaceae.